CGACGAUGCGCAAUAACUUAGUCGCUCUUUCGACAACAAAGAGAUAUUAUCGGAACUGUACACGGGAGCAAUUACUUCGCGAUCAUGAAUUAGGCAGAAAUCGCAUAGCGACUCCCACGUGUCUCGUGUCUCUAGUUGCGGCGCGUCGCGGGAGGCCGCGGUUUCCUCGACCCUGAGGAGCGUCGCGACGCCUCGUGCACGUCUCAGUGCAAGAGUGCCGUUCACCAGGAGUGCGCCGUCGGAGUCUCCACUCGUUCUGCCAUUCCUCUCACCCUAUCUCUUCAAAGAGAGAAACGCGAUAGCACGAGCUUUCACUUGGGUCAACCUCGCGAGUGCGUUUUCAGAACUGUACCCACCCUCGACUCCAAGUAGCAUCAAAAAGGCAAUCGCGCUAUCAAGCUGGCACCGCAUGUCUGGAUCAAGCGCAAGCCCGGACAAGCAGAGAUAAUAACCUUCGUGGAGGGACCUUGACGUAUCACCGUCACGGUACACAUCGCGUUACAGUGAAUAUUUCAAUACAGUAUCGAUCUACCGCGUGUAAAAUACGUGUGUGUCGUGAGUGUCUGUGCUCUGCUCUCAAAUCCCGUGUCGUCGUGUUUUCUCCGUAGAAAAAACCUUCCUUUCAUCUCGCGCUAUGUAUAUUGGUACACCAUUGUACGCGCUGUCAUCCUGUCACCCUGUGAAUCCGCUUGUCACGAUAGAGUGCGUGCGUCCGUGUCACGCGUGUGAAUAUUUCAACGUAUUAUCGAUCUACGCGGAACACGUGUUCCCUUUUAAUCAACUGUGAGUUUUAUGUCGGUGUUGUCUCGCUCGUAAUGGCAUUCCGACAGCGAUGAUAGACGACCAUCUCGCCCUUGUACAUAUUAUCGCGAAGACAGCUGCUCGCUUGCUUCCUUCGUGUAAAACUUCGAAAUUUGCAUGGGAUUUGACCGACUCUUCCUUCAGUAGUCGCAGCUGUUAAUGAUUGGUCAAGAUAGUGUGACUAUCGAAAUUUCCCACACUUUAUGACAGUAAUGAUACAGCGCUUUAGUGUAAAUCCAGGGAUAAAUCUUGAUCUCGGCACUUGUUUUACUACCAAGAAAAGUUGAAUUUUCUCCACGGUACGUGACUCGAUAGUAAAACAAGAUCAGAAGAUUUUGUAGAAAUGAAAGAUAAA
This is a long non-coding RNA of Acromyrmex echinatior (Panamanian leafcutter ant), 1156 nucleotides long. NCBI's taxonomy places the organism in Eukaryota, Metazoa, Arthropoda, Insecta, Hymenoptera, Formicidae. The record is from RefSeq and is a predicted model, not a curated record.